UUUGCGGUUAUCGGUUUCAAA
This 21-nucleotide non-coding RNA is filed under the name Caenorhabditis elegans. Lineage: Eukaryota; Metazoa; Nematoda; Chromadorea; Rhabditida; Rhabditidae. The record is from RNAcentral.